Pelmatolapia mariae (spotted tilapia) is the source of this 519-nucleotide non-coding RNA. The record is from the annotation of a RefSeq genome assembly. NCBI's taxonomy places the organism in Eukaryota, Metazoa, Chordata, Actinopteri, Cichliformes, Cichlidae.
AUGAUGCUCAGACUGUCUGUUCUGCUGACAGCGCUCUGUCUGCCCUGUUUGUAUGGUCAGGCUAUGGAGUCCAUUCCCUCCACUCCAGUGCUGAAAAAGCCUCAGGAAGCUCUCAGUCUUUCCUGUAGAGGAAGUGGUUUCAGUUUUGGCAGCUUUGGAAUGGACUGGAUCAGACAACCUGCUGGAAAAGCAUUAGAAUGGCUUGGGCUUAUUUGGUCUCAUGGAAGGAGAACUACUUAUGCGAGCAGUGUGGAAGGACGUAUAGAAAUCACCAAAGACAACAGCAACAGCAUGGUGUACCUGAGACUGUCCAGCCUAAAGCCAGAGGACUCUGCUGUGUGUUACAGGUCAGAGUAUGGAGUCCAUUCCUUCCACUCCUGUAGUGAAAAGGCCUGGGGAGACUCUCAGUCUUUCCUGCAGAGGAUCUGGAUUCACAUUUACCUGCUGUACUAUGCACUGGAUAAGACAAAAACCAGGAAAAGCACUGGAAUGGAUGGCAGAAGGCUUCUCAUCUUCUAG